Molecule: long non-coding RNA, 3023 nt
Organism: Chinchilla lanigera (long-tailed chinchilla)
Lineage: Eukaryota; Metazoa; Chordata; Mammalia; Rodentia; Chinchillidae
Exons: 3
Source: RefSeq, a predicted model, not a curated record
AGUUGGUGCUCAACCUGUGUGGGCUUCUGGCAUCACUGAGGUGUCUGUGCCUGGCACGGCUGGCCAUAGCCUCCUUUAGAGCACAGCCUACUGCAUCGCAAGCCCUCUCCUUUGGCGACCAGUUGGUUGUUGCCCUGGUGGAACUGGCUCCUCACACAUCCUGGCUCUCAGGCCUUCCAACAGCUGCUGCGGAGACUUGAUUCUUUCCUUUGGGCUGUGUUCACUGGGUCAUGACACUGGGGUCUGCAUGGGAAAGGUCUCUGCAAUUGCUGGGAAACUGUGUCCCUUCAUGCCUUGAGCCCAGAUCCUCCAACGGACAACAGUGGACAGGGACUGAACCUGGAAAGUGGAGGCAGAGGCAAAUACUUUUGGAAGUAAAUACUUCUGCUCAGUCCUUUUGUGACUCUCUGCCUUGUAAUUCUUUUUGGGUUGAGAGAAGAACCUGUCAGCUGGGAGGUAACAAAAGGAUCUGCACAGCUGCGAUCUUGCCUCAUCGAAGUUGCCAACCCUUAUGGGCGGCCGUCACCACGUUUGCUAAUCUGCUUGGUUCCUCUUUCGGGCAUGUGCCUUUCCCUCCUCGUUCCCGUGGCUUCGUGGAAGUGGACCGGGGCCUAGAGGGUGACUAAGAGGGGAAGCCCCUGUGCUGCGAGGCUCCCAGCAGCUCCUGGAUUGCGUAAGGGCUAUUUUGGAGGAGAUUGCAGACGCUCUGAUGAAUCAUCGCAAGCGCACAUGGCUCAGCGGGGGCCAGUCCUUCCUCCUGCUGCUCAUGUGGAAAGUAGAGCUUCUCAAAAUGAAUCAGCAGUGCCUGAACCCCAGGCCUACCGUGGGAGGAGCGUGGCUGUGCAAAUCACACAUUUCCAGAGUAUUGGGGUGCGGCCUGUGGGUCCGGGAGUGGGGGCAGCAGGAGCCCAAGUCUUUGGUUCCUGAAUGACUCAAAGGGCCUCUCUCACCCACCUGAGCCAGCCACCUGCACUCACCACACUGGUCACUGUGGAACAGUCACUUGCACUUACCGAGUGGGCGUGGCCAGCAGAGCUGCUUUCAAAUGGAGACACACAGGGUCUGAAUCCAGAAGUCCUGGAGGCUUCUCCUUCCCCGGGAGCCCCAAGUGAGAAACAUCUAAUACAUGUUAGGCAGUGGGGAGGCCCGCCUUGCUCCCUCAAGUUCAGAGGCAGAGCCCAGUGGUGGCUGGAAGUGUCCAGGCUUUGGAACUGGGCAGUACUGGGCUUGAGGCCCAAAUCCAAUGGAGUGACAAGGAGCAAGUCCCCAGACAGCUGGGCCUCAGUGCUCUCUUUUGUAAAACCAGGAAAUAAGAUCUUCCCUCUGAGGCUGCCAUUAAGAACACACGGGGUUUACACAAAGGCAGUGGGGUGCAGAUGCUGAACAUGCAGGUUCUAUAGCCAGGGGUUUAGUCUUUGGUCCACUACUCACUAGCUGUGUCCUGGGACAAGUUACUUAAGUGUUCUGGGCACCUGUUUCCUUGUCUUUAAAUGAGGAUGACAGAGUAAUGCCUUCCCCACAGAGUCAGUGAAUAGGCUCAGAGGUGCAAAAUGGAGAGUGUCUGGGACAUAAUGAGACUCAGUAAGUGUGAGCUGAGCUGUUGCUGUGUAAAGUGAGUCUUAUAGAAAGUUACCAUGGAUUUAUUAUGGUCAUUUAUUAUUUAUUAUUAUUAUUUAAAAUGGUAGUUGUGUGGUUGUCAUCCUCAUCAUCGUCAUCACCACCAUCACCAUCAUUAUCAUCGUUUUUCUCCUGAGAGCUGGAGUGGGUUUAGAUAGGAGCUGGAGCAUCGGGGUAUCCUGGGGAAGGAAAACAGAAGCAGCUGUGGGAUUACACUGGAGCCUCCUUUAUAAUUCUGCUUGGCUUGGUCUAAAGGCGUCCUGAAUGAGGAACACUUUGCAUUUAACUGGGCUGCAGGAGAGAGAGGAGGGGCAGUCUGUCUCGGAGAGGACUAGCGUUCCUAGAUGAGCCAUUCAUCUCUCCACAGUGAUGAGUAACCUUGAAGAUUGCUCAAUCGCUGCCAUGCUGAAGACGCUGAAGAUGGCGCAGCAGACAGCCCGGCUCCGUGGCAGAAUCAGGCCACUGAGGCUGAGAGGCGAGAGUUGCCACUGGCAUUUGUUGGGCAAUAGCUGAGAAUCUGCUUCUCUGUGGCAGCUGCUGGUGAUGCACAGCUCCCUCCUAGACAUGCUGUUUAGUGCUCUGUAAGGGUCUGGCUCGUUUCUCUCCUAUUCAGAAGCCCAUAUUGUUGGCUUGAGAUUAAUCUAAUUGCAAUAAGCAGGUUUGGAAAAUAACUGCUUGGACCCCACUCCAGACCAAUAGAAUCUAACGUCUGUGGGUAGACCUGGGAGUUGCACAGUUUAAAAGUUCCCCAGAUGUUUCAGGUACGCAAAGAGGGUGAAAGGCCACUGCUUGCAAUUGAGUUCUUUUGUUUUCAUCCUGAUCUGCAGGCUCUCUCUGUCCCACCCAACCUGUAUCAUUUCAUUUUCACUGUCCUUCCUUUCACUGUGAUCUACUGCAUUGGCUACGUUCUAAUAAAAUUGGUUGGCUGAAUGAUUUGACCAUCCCAAAAGUGUCUAUUGAAAUCCACUGUAUGCCAGAUGCUGGUAUUAAAAGGGCAGAUGCAGUAGGAGUAAGAAGAGACAAAGUCCUUGCUUCCACAGAACGUGUAUUUUUGUAUAAGGGAGAAGGAAAUAAGCCAAUAAACAACAUUCAUGGGUAGAGAUGAGAAAAAUCUAUCAGGGAGGGAUGUGUAAGAGUGACAGGUAGUCAGGGAAAGUGACAUUUGAGCAGACACCUGAAUGAAGCAAAGUCACCACCAUAUGGACAUGUGAAAGUAGAAUAUUUCGGAGGGAGAACAGAAAUUAUCAAGAUGCUAAAUGAGCAUUAAUGAGCAUAGGUACCCUUUUGUUCAUUCCUUUCCACCUUCAAUAACACCUCAUUCUAUACAUAUGGUCCAUCACAUCCUGGUCCUAACUAGUUUCUUUUUUUGUUUCUUUGUUUUUUUCCAGUACCGGUAAUCGAACUCA